AUAUUUUUAGUAUAAUAAGUAUUGUAAAUUUAGAAUUUAUAGGUAAAAAAUAUA
This 54-nucleotide transfer RNA is filed under the name Brugia malayi. Its description in RNAcentral is "tRNA-Leu". The record is from RNAcentral. Lineage: Eukaryota; Metazoa; Nematoda; Chromadorea; Rhabditida; Onchocercidae.